This 253-nucleotide ribosomal RNA is filed under the name uncultured bacterium. RNAcentral describes it as "partial 16S ribosomal RNA". It matches the Rfam family "Bacterial small subunit ribosomal RNA", at positions 524 to 776 of the family's 1533-position model. The record is from RNAcentral.
UACAGAGGGGGCAAGCGUUAUUCGGAAUUAUUGGGCGUAAAGGGUGCGUAGGCGGCGCGGUAAGUCGGGUGUGAAAUCUCGGGGCUUAACUCCGAAACUGCAUUCGAUACUGCCGUGCUUGAGGACUGGAGAGGAGACUGGAAUUUACGGUGUAGCGGUGAAAUGCGUAGAUAUCGUAAGGAAGACCAGUGGCGAAGGCGGGUCUCUGGACAGUUCCUGACGCUGAGGCACGAAGGUCAGGGGAGCAAACGGG